Molecule: RNase P RNA, 402 nt
Filed under: Stratiformator vulcanicus
Lineage: Bacteria; Pseudomonadati; Planctomycetota; Planctomycetia; Planctomycetales; Planctomycetaceae
Description: Bacterial RNase P class A
Rfam family: Bacterial RNase P class A
About the family: Ribonuclease P (RNase P) is a ubiquitous endoribonuclease, found in archaea, bacteria and eukarya as well as chloroplasts and mitochondria.
Source: Rfam by way of RNAcentral
GGAGUGGGCCGAGCGGUCGCGACCGAAUUCGCUUCGUGCGAAUUUGAUCGAGGAAAGUCCGGGCUCCACAGGACAGGGUGGUGGGUAACGCCCACCGUCCGUGAGGACCGGGAAAGUGCCACAGAAAGCAAACCGCCGAACGGCGCGACGCUUCGCAAGAGGUUCGCGCGCGUGGUAAGGGUGAAAGGGUGCGGUAAGAGCGCACCGCGGCGCGGGUGACCGGGCCGGCAAGGUAAACCCCACCCGGAGCAAGACCGAGCAGGGGGGAAGGGGGCUUCGGCCCGCUGCGGGUUUGUUCGGCCCGUCACUACCCCCGGGUAGGUUGCUGGAGGCGGCGGGCAACCGUCGUCCGAGAGAAAUGACCGCUCUCGACAGAACCCGGCUUACAGGCCCACUCCGCAU